Molecule: ribosomal RNA, 201 nt
Filed under: Streptococcus agalactiae BSU260
Lineage: Bacteria; Bacillati; Bacillota; Bacilli; Lactobacillales; Streptococcaceae
Description: partial 16S ribosomal RNA
Rfam family: Bacterial small subunit ribosomal RNA
Source: RNAcentral
UUUAAUGAGAGUUUGAUCCUGGCUCAGGACGAACGCUGGCGGCGUGCCUAAUACAUGCAAGUAGAACGCUGAGGUUUGGUGUUUACACUAGACUGAUGAGUUGCGAACGGGUGAGUAACGCGUAGGUAACCUGCCUCAUAGCGGGGGAUAACUAUUGGAAACGAUAGCUAAUACCGCAUAAGAGUAAUUAACACAUGUUGG